UAUAAUUACACCCUGGACUGAUACUAUUACACGUUAAUAGAAUAGUAUUAUCCCAAUGUAGUUAUAUAGAGAUUAGGUAUUCUUAUCUACUGCUAUUUUCUAUUGGAAAGCUGGAUAUACAGAGACAAAGCGCUUGAAAUAGUAUAGCAGUAACGGAUAAGUAUAAGAUUCGUUUCCAUUUUACUGCAUUAUUUUCACUGAGUAGUUUUAUAUAUGUUAUAUACUAUGAAUAUAAUUAUUUAAGAUUUCAUUCAAAGACCAAUGUGAUUCUCAUGUUCGUAUUGUAGAGAUGGAGGAAGGGUUGACGAUUAACACAAGUAAUAUAUAUAUUCAACUACAUGAUGUAUAUGUAUUAGAAUAUAAUGUGCAAAGACUAUAAUAGGAAUUGUUUAUGGGGAUAGUAUAUUAUGGUAGUACAGAGGAAGGCAUAUAAGAUAAUAUGUUGUAUAAAUAAGACAAAAAUAGUGUAAGGUGAGUACUGAGAGAUAAUAUAUCGGCUGAUGGGCAACGUCAACCAGAAAGGAUUCUUGAAUUAUAGAUAUGAAAUUUAAUUCUAGAUAUCUUAGAAUUUAACCACUACCGAAAUCGGCUCACUACAAAAACGACUGUUUUCGCAAUAAGAUGGUCAGUUAGUGAAUCUCAUACGCAUGUCCCAUGAAUGUCUUGGCUACGUACAACUACAGCCGACUCCCAAGAUAUAUUUACAAAGGGGAGAUAAGAGCUGAAAAUAAAAUGGAAAGUAUAUAAAUCGUGAAAAACCAUAUCACAAAAAAUUAUUUAUUGCAAAGCAAACAAAAAUAAAGCGAUAUCAAAGGAUGAAAAGAAGAAAAAAAAGAGACAUGCGAAUUGUCGCCAAAGGAUAUGUAAAGAAAAUGGUAAUAAAUAAGAAUGUUUCAGAGUUACUUACAAUAAGAAGUCGAAAAGCGAUAAAUACUGAAUAUAUAAAAAAGAUUAACGUUGUGUUGAAAUGGAUUUAUAAAUAUUUCGGAGCGAUGUAUAUUUUUCAUAUAUUUAUAUUAUUUUCAAUAUAGACUUUUUUUCUUACAAACAUCACCGCUUCCAUAGAAUAAUCUGAUGCAAAAUCGACAAAACUCAGAAUACAUUAAUUGUAGAUAUAUCUACAGAUACGAGAAAGUAUAUUGGUAAAGAUAGAUUAGCGUUUUUUGGCUUCGUUAAACGAUCCUUCAUAGAUUCAAAACUAUUCAUAUAUAUAUAUAUAUAUAUAAAUGCGCGUGAUUCAGUGUGAGAGUAUCCGUCUUUGUUUGUAUCUGUAUGUCUUGAGGCAUACAGGUUUACAAGCAUAAACUGCAGAAAAGUAGUCGACAAGGUAUCAUUCCAUUCGGUAUUCUAUAUAAGUCGUAUUUAUAAAUAAACACUUGUUAUAAAUCUUAGUAAUAUA
Octopus bimaculoides (California two-spot octopus) is the source of this 1399-nucleotide long non-coding RNA. RefSeq lists it as uncharacterized. Lineage: Eukaryota; Metazoa; Mollusca; Cephalopoda; Octopoda; Octopodidae. The record is from RefSeq and is a predicted model, not a curated record.